ACUUAGUUGGUAGAGUGCAAAGCUCUUAACCUUGUGGGCGUGGGUUCAAGCCCCAU
Molecule: transfer RNA, 56 nt
Filed under: Triticum aestivum (bread wheat)
Lineage: Eukaryota; Viridiplantae; Streptophyta; Magnoliopsida; Poales; Poaceae
Also listed under: 1 other name
Rfam family: tRNA
About the family: Transfer RNA (tRNA) molecules are approximately 80 nucleotides in length. Their secondary structure includes four short double-helical elements and three loops (D, anti-codon, and T loops).
Source: Rfam by way of RNAcentral